UCGGGCCCGGGAAAAUUGUUGCCGGGGAAUUAGUCGGGGCGGUGCGUCGUUUAUUAACCGGUUAACCGGAUAAUUAAUCCGCGCGCCGAGCCCGAGAUGCCAUCGAGUCUUCGGGCCGUGCUCGCGGAUUCGAUUAGCAACGCGGAAUUACCUUCUCCGAAACCACUCUCCUUGAAGAAGGAGAAAAUCCAGGGCAGUCGAUUUUUAUGCCCCUAACCGGGACCCAUUACCGCGUAGGAGUCAAUAUUAGUUUGAAAGCGCAAAUGCGAAUAACUCUCACCCCGGUACACUUACCACCUACAUCCUGGGAUUUUAGUUCGUGCCAGUGAUGGAGCUUUUCCGACGCUUAUCGCUUCUGGCAUCGAUGCCAUACUUCGAAGAAUUGGUAAACGAAGUGCGAGAAGAUUGGGAAGCUGCAUUUUAUGAGAGCUAAAUUGUGGACAGAUCCGAGAAAUCGGGAAUGUCGAGCGUACGAAGAAAGCGCAAGUGGGUGAGGUCAGUGUAGAAAGUUCAAUGCCAUAAAAGGACGCAAAGAGAAAGGGGUGAAGGAAAGCUGACGAGCGUAAAACACAAAAGGUGGAAGAGGGACAGACUCGCGGAGAAUGGGGCCAGUAAGGACCAGGAAACGAGAGGAAAGAGGGCGAUAUACUCGAAUGGUGGAAACUCUCUCGAAGCUGUGCCAUCUACGACGCUUCGGGGCAACGUCAAGACAAAGGCGGGACAUCUCCCUUAACUGCGAGCUGCCCCGGGAAAGGAAGAACGCUCGAUGAACCCGAGUUUUGUCAGAUAUUUACUACAGCGAAGCGGAUCUCGGAAAUUCCAUUGCAAACCAUUCCAAUGCGGUGGAAAUAUGUACACGCCAGUAAUGUAUAUAUGUACUUUUUAAACAAGUCAUGCUCGAAUCGCUUCGAACUAUUGUUUUAGAAUGUAGAGUCUGCUACCGAUAAGAGCACAUGCUGAUUAAACAGGUAGCAGGAAUGAUUGCGAUCGAAUGAAAACAAAUUAUUAUUCAUAUUAUAUUUAUUUAGUCAAUGGUCAGAUUGCUAUGAAUACUUAUAAGCAGUAUAUUACAAGUGGUCACAAAUUUUGUCAUCGUAAAGCGUGAGGUGACAGUAGAACCGAUGUUACUCUGAUGCAGCGAGGUAUACACAACAGGCAGAAUAUAGCAUCUGCGGGUAAUCUAUACUAUGAUAUAAAAAAUUCGACGAAAAUUGAAAAUUGCUAUAUAAAGCUAGUUAACGUA
This is an RNA transcript of Orussus abietinus, 1243 nucleotides long. RefSeq lists it as uncharacterized. Lineage: Eukaryota; Metazoa; Arthropoda; Insecta; Hymenoptera; Orussidae. The record is from RefSeq and is a predicted model, not a curated record. The transcript has 2 exons.